AACGAACGCUGGCGGUAUGCCUAACACAUGCAAGUCGAACGAGACCUUCGGGUCUAGUGGCGCACGGGUGCGUAACGCGUGGGAACCUGCCCUUAUGUUCGGAAUACCUCCCCGAAAGGGGUGCUAAUACCGGAUAAUGUCUUCGGACCAAAGAUUUAUCGCCUUUGGAUGGGCCCGCGUUGGAUUAGCUAGUUGGUAGGGUAAAAGCCUACCAAGGCGACGAUGCCUAGCUGGUCUGAGAGGAUGAUCAGCCACACUGGGACUGAGACACGGCCCAGACUCCUACGGAAGGGAGCAGUGGGGAAUAUUGGACACUGGGCGAAAGCCUGAGCCAGCAAGGCCGGGUGAGUGAGGAAGGCCUUAGGGUUGUAAAGCGCUUUUACCCGGGAUGAUAAUGACGGUACCGGGAGAAUAAGCGCCGGCUAACUACGUG
Molecule: ribosomal RNA, 433 nt
Filed under: uncultured bacterium
Lineage: Bacteria
Description: partial 16S ribosomal RNA
Rfam family: Bacterial small subunit ribosomal RNA
Source: RNAcentral